ACGCCAUACCACCCUGAACUCGCCCGAUCUUGUCUGAUCUCGGAAGCUAAGCAGGGUCGGGCCUGGUUAGUACUUGGAUGGGAGAAUAAGGAAUGUU
Molecule: ribosomal RNA, 97 nt
Filed under: Ailuropoda melanoleuca (giant panda)
Lineage: Eukaryota; Metazoa; Chordata; Mammalia; Carnivora; Ursidae
Source: RNAcentral